GCACCUUCAUAGCUCAGUUGGUAGAGCACAUGUGUUUAAGAAGUUCCUGAAACGCUGUGGUCCAAAGGUCGCUGGUUCAACUCCAGCUCCAAGCUCCA
RNAcentral lists this transfer RNA (98 nucleotides) under Xyrichtys novacula (pearly razorfish). Its description in RNAcentral is "tRNA.Leu". Lineage: Eukaryota; Metazoa; Chordata; Actinopteri; Labriformes; Labridae. The record is from RNAcentral.